Long non-coding RNA from Etheostoma spectabile (orangethroat darter), 74 nucleotides. RefSeq lists it as uncharacterized. Lineage: Eukaryota; Metazoa; Chordata; Actinopteri; Perciformes; Percidae. The record is from RefSeq and is a predicted model, not a curated record. The transcript is spliced from 3 exons.
AUGUGUUAAUAUGUAGAUGAAGAUCAAAUUUAACAAGUUAUUUGAGUCUUUGUUCUUAUUUGAUAACCACUAAU